CUUCCGGCAGGACUGACCCUAAGCAUACAGCCAAGAGCUGCACUGGAAUGGCUUAAGGCAAAGAAAGUUAAUGUCUUAGAAUGGCCCAGUCAAAGCCCAGACCUUAAACCAAUUGAGAAUCUGUGGGGUGCUGUAAAGAGGG
This is a long non-coding RNA of Myripristis murdjan (pinecone soldierfish), 142 nucleotides long. RefSeq lists it as uncharacterized. The transcript is spliced from 3 exons. The record is from RefSeq and is a predicted model, not a curated record. Lineage: Eukaryota; Metazoa; Chordata; Actinopteri; Holocentriformes; Holocentridae.